Molecule: ribosomal RNA, 693 nt
Filed under: uncultured bacterium
Lineage: Bacteria
Description: bacterial SSU rRNA
Rfam family: Bacterial small subunit ribosomal RNA
Source: RNAcentral
AGAGUUUGAUCCUGGCUCAGAGUGAACGCUGGCGGUAGGCCUAACACAUGCAAGUCGAACGGCAGCACAGAGGAGCUUGCUCCUUGGGUGGCGAGUGGCGGACGGGUGAGGAAUACAUCGGAAUCUACUCUGUCGUGGGGGAUAACGUAGGGAAACUUACGCUAAUACCGCAUACGACCUACGGGUGAAAGCAGGGGAUCUUCGGACCUUGCGCGAUUGAAUGAGCCGAUGUCGGAUUAGCUAGUUGGCGGGGUAAAGGCCCACCAAGGCGACGAUCCGUAGCUGGUCUGAGAGGAUGAUCAGCCACACUGGAACUGAGACACGGUCCAGACUCCUACGGGAGGCAACAGUGGGGAAUAUUGGACAAUGGUCGCAAGCCUGAUCCAGCCAUACCGCGUGGGUGAAGAAGGCCUUCGGGUUGUAAAGCCCUUUUGUUGGGAAAGAAAUCCAGCUGGCUAAUACCCGGUUGGGAUGACGGUACCCAAAGAAUAAGCACCGGCUAACUUCGUGCCAGCAGCCGCGGUAAUACGAAGGGUGCAAGCGUUACUCGGAAUUACUGGGCGUAAAGCGUGCGUAGGUGGUCGUUUAAGUCCGUUGUGAAAGCCCUGGGCUCAACCUGGGAACUGCAGUGGAUACUGGACGACUAGAGUGUGGUAGAGGGUAGCGGAAUUCCUGGUGUAGCAGUGAAAUGCG